Long non-coding RNA from Trichechus manatus latirostris (Florida manatee), 471 nucleotides. RefSeq lists it as uncharacterized. The record is from RefSeq and is a predicted model, not a curated record. Lineage: Eukaryota; Metazoa; Chordata; Mammalia; Sirenia; Trichechidae. The transcript is spliced from 3 exons.
AAUAUUUUAUCAUUCUUAAUUUUCCAUAUCUCUAUAUGUUGCUGCCUGUUCAACUAAGAACCCUGUAAAUAUGGAGCCUUAAAAUAAUCACAAGAUAAUUGGACAUUGUUAUUUAGUCACUCCCCCUCUCCAACAAAGAAUUAUAUGGCCCCAAAUGUCAAAAAUAUUGAGAUUGAGAAAUGCUGAGAUAGAGGAAAGUGCUAUGCAAAAAUAAACAGCAUAACGUGAUUGAAUGACAGAAAAGGUGGAAGUCAGAAAGGACCUUUGUGGAAGAUAACAAACUGAGACUCAAAGACAAAAAGAAGGCAGCCAUGUUGAAAUUCGGUGAGAGCUGGACAGGCCAAGAGAAGAGCGCAUACAGUUAUCUCAAGUCAGAAACACACUGGAAUGUUUAGAGACGAUGCUGGAGAAAUAGAGAGGGGGCAGAGAAAGUGGAACUACAAUUCCGUACAGUAAUAACAAGGAUGAUGG